AAGACCUUGCGCUUUUGGAGCGGCCGAUGCCUGAUUAGCUUGUUGGUAAGGUAAAAGCUUACCAAGGCUUCGAUCAGUAGCUGGUCUGAGAGGACGACCAGCCACACUGGGACUGAGACACGGCCCAGACUCCUACGGGAGGCAGCAGUGGGGAAUUUUGGACAAUGGGGGCAACCCUGAUCCAGCCAUGCCGCGUGAGUGAAGAAGGCCUUCGGGUUGUAAAGCUCUUUCAGCCGGAACGAAACGGUUACGGAUAACACCCGUGACUACUGACGGUACCGGAAGAAGAAGCACCGGCUAACUACGUGCCAGCAGCCGCGGUAAUACGUAGGGUGCGAGCGUUAAUCGGAAUUACUGGGCGUAAAGCGUGCGCAGGUGGUUUUGUAAGUCAGAUGUGAAAGCCCCGGGCUCAACCUGGGAWSU
Molecule: ribosomal RNA, 423 nt
Filed under: uncultured bacterium
Lineage: Bacteria
Description: bacterial SSU rRNA
Rfam family: Bacterial small subunit ribosomal RNA
Source: RNAcentral